RNAcentral lists this long non-coding RNA (688 nucleotides) under Mus pahari (shrew mouse). RNAcentral describes it as "lncRNA (MGP_PahariEiJ_G0005348.1)". The record is from RNAcentral. Lineage: Eukaryota; Metazoa; Chordata; Mammalia; Rodentia; Muridae.
ACAGACACACUCAGAGGCUUGCUGUAUAGAUCUCCUAGGUGCCUCUUAAUCCAGUCAAGGUGACCAGAGAGAUGACCUAUCGCAGAGAGCUAGCAUGUGUCAGAAUCCCAAGGUGUGGAGGCAUCUGCUUUGUUGUAAGAAGCCGCUUGAUAGGAUGGAGAGGAUCUUGAACCAUGGCCAGUGGGGUUGCAAUGACUGUGGGGUCAACUGAAGACAACAAGAAUGACAGAAAAACAUGGCUUAAGGAUGGAUGUUUCCAGGUAACGGAGAAGAGGAUGAGAGCUGGGGCCAGGGACUAAGUUUUGGAGUCCACAAAGGCUCCAUCCUGUCCAGGAGGAAGGAGCAUUCUGGCUACUGUGGUAGUUUUUCAGGAUGAUGAGUGGCUUAGAGUUUGGAACUGUCCUCCUGUGAGGCAGACAGCGGGCCUGGCUUUGAGGCUCCUUCUCCUGAGGACAGACAGACAUGACUCAUCACUCAGGAUGUUGUGCCAUCCUUAAAUGAACAUGGGAUUUGUGACCAGAUCGUCUUCCCCUGUGGACACGUGUGACAUUUAGGGACAGAGCAGAGAGGUGGCAGAGUGGAGGAGCAAGCAUGUCCAGUGGGAGCCUGGUGACAGAAUUUGUCAGCUACAAGUCGAAGGCGUCUUGAGAACUCAUGACCGUGUCUGUGUCCUAAGGCUGGGGACACU